GCGAGUGGGGCGCGUGCAAAGACGAGCGAGCACAAGAACCAGAUCCGCGUUGGAAGGGCGACCUUAAGGAAUUCCCACUACAAGAUGGAGUCUCACUCUGGAGUGCAGUGGUGCCAUCUCGGCUCACAGCAACUUUCACCAUCUCGGUUCAAGUGAAUCUCCUGCCUCAGCCUCCUGAACAGCUGGGAUUACAGGGUUGCUGAGCUGGGAAGAGGAAGAAUGGUCCCCGAUGGGAGGACUUCUUGGCUGCAUGCUCGGACUCUGAGCCUCUGGCACUUACUUGUCCUGACUCAGGAUGAGGGCUGUCAAAGUGGACACGAUGGUACCCAGGCAGCCCGAGAUGGCCCACCAGGGGUUCUGGACGAAGAGGCCGAGGAUG
Long non-coding RNA from Callithrix jacchus (white-tufted-ear marmoset), 379 nucleotides. RefSeq lists it as uncharacterized. The record is from RefSeq and is a predicted model, not a curated record. Lineage: Eukaryota; Metazoa; Chordata; Mammalia; Primates; Cebidae.